Molecule: transfer RNA, 72 nt
Filed under: Corynebacterium striatum
Lineage: Bacteria; Bacillati; Actinomycetota; Actinomycetes; Mycobacteriales; Corynebacteriaceae
Description: Pseudo tRNA
Rfam family: tRNA
About the family: Transfer RNA (tRNA) molecules are approximately 80 nucleotides in length.
Source: RNAcentral
GCGUGAGUGGUGAAAGCAUCCCGCUUGGCUUCCUGCCAAGAGUUCCUAGUUCAAAUCUAGGCUCGCGCUCCA